GUCUCGGUAGGGUAGUGGAUAUCCUGAAAGCCUCCGGAGCUUUCGACCCGGGUUCGAGUCCCGGCCGGGACG
This 72-nucleotide transfer RNA is filed under the name Methanoculleus sp. RNAcentral's name for it is "tRNA-Arg". It matches the Rfam family "tRNA". From Rfam's summary of the family: Transfer RNA (tRNA) molecules are approximately 80 nucleotides in length. Their secondary structure includes four short double-helical elements and three loops (D, anti-codon, and T loops). The record is from RNAcentral. Lineage: Archaea; Methanobacteriati; Methanobacteriota; Methanomicrobia; Methanomicrobiales; Methanomicrobiaceae. RNAcentral also lists the same sequence under 2 other names.